UACGUAGGGUGCGAGCGUUGUCCGGAAUUACUGGGCGUAAAGGGCUUGUAGGCGGCCAACUAAGUCAGACGUGAAAUCCCUCGGCUUAACCGGGGAACUGCAUCUGAUACUGGAUGGCUUGAGUUCGGGAGAGGGAUGCGGAAUUCCAGGUGUAGCGGUGAAAUGCGUAGAUAUCUGGAGGAACACCGGUGGCGAAGGCGGCAUCCUGGACCGACACUGACGCUGAGGAGCGAAAGCCAGGGGAGCAAACGGG
Molecule: ribosomal RNA, 253 nt
Filed under: uncultured bacterium
Lineage: Bacteria
Description: partial 16S ribosomal RNA
Rfam family: Bacterial small subunit ribosomal RNA
Source: RNAcentral